Impatiens glandulifera is the source of this 117-nucleotide small nuclear RNA. RefSeq annotates it as U5 spliceosomal RNA. The record is from RefSeq and is a predicted model, not a curated record. Lineage: Eukaryota; Viridiplantae; Streptophyta; Magnoliopsida; Ericales; Balsaminaceae. The transcript has a single exon.
AGCCGCGCUCUGUGCACAAAGCGAACUAUUCUUUCGCCUUUUACUAAAGAAUACCGUGUGCACGCAGCAAAUAGUGGCAUACACUUAUUUUUGGAGGGCUGUCUGAAAAAGAUAGCC